This 442-nucleotide ribosomal RNA is filed under the name uncultured prokaryote. Its description in RNAcentral is "bacterial SSU rRNA". It matches the Rfam family "Bacterial small subunit ribosomal RNA", at positions 355 to 796 of the family's 1533-position model. The record is from RNAcentral.
CAAGGAAUUUUCCCCAAUGGGCGCAAGCCUGAGGGAGCAACGCCGCGUGCAGGACGACGGCCUUCGGGUUGUAAACUGCUUUUAUCAGGGAACAAAUAGGCCAUGCGUGGUCAGUUGAGUGUACCUGAAGAAUAAGCACCGGCUAACUCCGUGCCAGCAGCCGCGGUAAUACGGAGGGUGCAAGCGUUGUCCGGAUUUAUUGGGUUUAAAGGGUGCGUAGGUGGUUUAUUAAGUCAGUGGUGAAAGGCUACAGCUCAACUGUAGGAGUGCCAUUGAUACUGGUAGACUUGAGUUUGGUCGAGGUAGGCGGAAUUUAUGGUGUAGCGGUGAAAUGCAUAGAUACCAUAAAGAACACCGAUAGUGAAGACAGCUUACUAGGCCUGAACUGACACUGAGGCACGAAAGCGUGGGGAGCGAACAGGAUUAGAUACCCGUGUAGUCC